This 323-nucleotide small nuclear RNA is filed under the name Octodon degus (degu). Its description in RNAcentral is "7SK RNA (ENSODEG00000024521.1)". It matches the Rfam family "7SK RNA". Rfam says of the family: 7SK was discovered as an abundant small nuclear RNA in the mid-70s but a possible function has only recently been suggested. Two independent studies have found that 7SK RNA binds the CDK9/cyclin T complex (known as elongation factor P-TEFb). The record is from RNAcentral. Lineage: Eukaryota; Metazoa; Chordata; Mammalia; Rodentia; Octodontidae.
GGAUGUGAGGGCGAUCUGGCUGCAACAUCUGUCACCCCAUUGAUCGCCAGGGUUGAUUCGGCUGAUCUGGCUGGCUAGGCGGGUGUCCCCUUCCUCCCUCAAUGAUCCAUGUGCGUCCCUCCCGAAGCUGCGCGCUCGGUCAAAGAGGAUGACCACCCCCAAUAGAGGAGGACCGUUCCUCGGUCAAGGGUAUACGAGUAGCUGUGCUCCCCUGCUAGAACCUCCAAACAAGCUCUCAUCCACUUGUCUUUGAAUUCUUUUCCACAGUGUAAGCAGUACUUUUGGUGGCUAGCCAUUUAUCAUGCUCUCAGAAUGCUGUCUUC